RNAcentral lists this non-coding RNA (48 nucleotides) under Schistosoma curassoni. Lineage: Eukaryota; Metazoa; Platyhelminthes; Trematoda; Strigeidida; Schistosomatidae. The record is from RNAcentral.
AUCCGGCUGACGAGUCCCAAACAGGACGAAACGCGCGUCGAACUGAAU